UUUAUUUUGUACCAACAAGUUACAAACCGAACAAAAGAAAUAGAAAUAUAUAUGGAAAAUGGAAAUAUAUAUAUGGUUAAUGUGGAUGCAACAAAAGAGUUUUUUUUUCUAAGAACAAAAGACUUGACAUGGAGAAAGCAACAUUCACGAACACAAUACAAAGGCAUGCACCACGCCCAGUUUAUCUGAAUCCAUAACAGUGCAGUAAAGGUACAUUGUACGUCCGGUAACAAAACUAAAGCCACUCAAUGUGCUUCCACCUUUUUUUAUUCUCAACACCGGAUUAUUAAGAUUAGUCCAGUUGUUUCCUCAUAAACUCAGUAUAAGAUGCUCCCUUCAUUCCACAAUGUAGUGCACUCGUACUUCCCGAGAUCUGAGUUGAAGUAUGUGAGAUCAUAGUUAUAAAUUUCUCCGGGGUAACACAAUUACAUGAAAGGGUGCACACAGUACCCAAAGCUAUCACUACAAGUGUACAACUGAGCAUGAAGGACUGUCGGACGGGCACAUUUCUUCAGUAUGUAUAGAGUCUGUCUACCUACAAUAGUUAAGCUGCAAAAAGGAAAAUUACAAGAUGACCAGACCAGAACAAGUGUUCCACUACUAUAGAAUUCAGUAGCUUCCACACAGCGAACGAUGGAACUCAAAACAUCAGUGCAAGAUUUGCCAGCUGCAAUUAACUUAAAAAACCAGAGCAAUAGGUAACGCCAGCGCUUACUCCACUGCAGAUUUUUCAGAGAUCUAGCAAAAGGAAAACCUUCUUAUUUUAGAUUAAGGUGAAGAUGACUCCUGCAGUUCCGAUCUUAUUUUAGAUUAAGGUGAAGAUGACUCCUGCAGUUCCGACUGACUGUUAUGAACUAUUCAAGACGUCAGCUUAGAUAUCUCAAAAAUUGUAACGGCGAUGAAGCAACAAACAGAACGGAGAUGCAGCAACGCACAAGAUCAUACAACCUGUAAAAUACAGAAAUGAACUGGUCAGAACACAAUCACGGCAUGCAACAAUGCAGAUGCAAGCAAGAAACACUAAGGCAUCAUUUCUAUAAGGUAUCAUAUCCUCACAAUUACUGUAACUUGCAAAAAACUUGUAGAGUAGUUCUUUUAACAAGAACAAGUUGUGAACGCGAACCAUAGGUCUAUCCUCACAUUUGCGCAUCUCAUUUUGCAUUUGUGAUUCUGCAUCGACUACCAAGGUAACAUAAAAAGGUAUGCAAACCAGGAUAAACUAAAGCAUGUACCUGGAAAGGAAAAUCAAAUAAACAGAAAUGGGCUAGUAUACUUGUGGAGAGGUUAGACAGAAAGUCAGCAAGAACGCCCAAAUCUGGCCGAGAACGCCGGCCCCUACGCACAGUUCAGAUCUGGGCAGCCACAGGAUUCACACUGUACCACAUAACCAAAUGGCAAGCAGCAACGGGCGAGAUCGUACAACCUGCGAAAUUUAGAAAAGAACAGGUCAAAAGACAAGCACGGGAUGAACGAUGCAAAUGCAAGCAAGAAACAAUCGCGGCUCAUAGCGGUUCAGAGAAGCAAAAGAACAGCCUAUUUACCAAAGCUAGGAAGGAGGAGCACGCGACCCAAACAUCAGGACAAACGAGGAAAACAACCUAAACCGUAGAACAAACGUUAGCACAGAUGCAUUUCACCGAACAUCACGCGCGCAUUUCAUCAAACAACUUAUAGGCAAGUAGAAGGGGCGCCCACUAACCAGAACGCGAAGGACAGAAAGACCCACGGCUCGACGCAGGCGACAACGGCAAGUCGAAAGAUGCCCAACUACGUGAAAUCAGUAGAGCGAAGCAAGAAGAGAGGUGUGGGGAAAACACAAGAAGAACAGCAGCACGAACCUCAACCAACGGCGCCCAUAGAGCAAAGGAGGCCACCGCAACAGACCGCAGCAGAGGACAGUCGAAGGAAGCUAGGAGAGCCACGAGGAGAGGGUGCAGCGGGGCGGAGACAAGGAAGAAGGGCACUCAGCAGCCUGGGCAUGGCAGACGCGGGCCCACGGAGUGAGGCACGCACGUCCACCGUGCCCCGGCCGCGCGUCGGGCACAGCAG
This 2049-nucleotide long non-coding RNA is filed under the name Triticum aestivum (bread wheat). RNAcentral's name for it is "long non-coding RNA (TAES_LNC005175)". Lineage: Eukaryota; Viridiplantae; Streptophyta; Magnoliopsida; Poales; Poaceae. The record is from RNAcentral.